GUUUUCUCUGUUUUGUCAUUUCCUUGAUUAGGCUAAAGUGAACAACUCCAGCCUGAUAGGUUUAGGAUACACUCAGACUCUAAAGCCAGGUAUUAAACUGACACUGUCAGCUCUUCUGGAUGGCAAGAACGUCAAUGCUGGUGGCCACAAGCUUGGUCUAGGACUGGAAUUUCAAGCAUAAAUGAAUACUGUACAAUUGUUUAAUUUUAAACUAUUUUGCAGCAUAGCUACCUUCAGAAUUUAGUGUAUCUUUUAAUGUUGUAUGUCUGGGAUGCAAGUAUUGCUAAAUAUGUUAGCCCUCCAGGUUAAAGUUGAUUCAGCUUUAAGAUGUUACCCUUCCAGAGGUACAGAAGAAACCUAUUUCCAAAAAAGGUCCUUUCAGUGGUAGACUGGGGGAGAACUUGGUGGCCCCUUUGAGAUGCCAGGUUUCUUUUUUAUCUAGAAAUGGCUGCAAGUGGAAGCGGAUAAUAUGUAGGCACUUUGUAAAUUCAUAUUGAGUAAAUGAAUGAAAUUGUGAUUUCCUGAGAAUCAAACCUUGGUUUCCUAACCCUAAUUGAUGAGAGGCUCGCUGCUUGAUGGUGUGUACAAACUCACCUGAAUGGGACUUUUUUAGACAGAUCUUCAUGACCUGUUCCCACCCCAGUUCAUCAUCAUCUCUUUUACACCAAAAGGUCUGCAGGGUGUGGUAACUGUUUCUUUUGUGCCAUUUUGGGGUGGAGAAGGUGGAUGUGAUGAAGCCAAUAAUUCAGGACUUAUUCCUUCUUGUGUUGUGUUUUUUUUUUUGCCCUUGCACCAGAGUAUGAAAUAGCUUCCAGGAGCUCCAGCUAUAAGCUUGGAAGUGUCUGUGUGAUUGUAAUCACAUGGUGACAACACUCAGAAUCUAAAUUGGACUUCUGUUGUAUUCUCACCACUCAAUUUGUUUUUUAGCAGUUUAAUGGGUACAUUUUAGAGUCUUCCAUUUUGUUGGAAUUAGAUCCUCCCCUUCAAAUGCUGUAAUUAACAACACUUAAAAAAACUUGAAUAAAAUAUUGAAACCUCAU
This 1040-nucleotide long non-coding RNA is filed under the name Pan troglodytes (chimpanzee). RNAcentral's name for it is "long non-coding RNA NONPTRT014239". The record is from RNAcentral. Lineage: Eukaryota; Metazoa; Chordata; Mammalia; Primates; Hominidae.